RNAcentral lists this ribosomal RNA (660 nucleotides) under uncultured bacterium. RNAcentral's name for it is "bacterial SSU rRNA". It matches the Rfam family "Bacterial small subunit ribosomal RNA", at positions 61 to 714 of the family's 1533-position model. The record is from RNAcentral.
GUCGAACGGCAGCACGGGAGCUUGCUCCUGGUGGCGAGUGGCGAACGGGUGAGUAAUAUAUCGGAACGUACCCUAGAGUGGGGGAUAACGCAGCGAAAGUUGCGCUAAUACCGCAUACGAUCUACGGAUGAAAGUGGGGGAUCGCAAGACCUCAUGCUCAUGGAGCGGCCGAUAUCUGAUUAGCUAGUUGGUGGGGUAAAGGCCUACCAAGGCAUCGAUCAGUAGCUGGUCUGAGAGGACGACCAGCCACACUGGAACUGAGACACGGUCCAGACUCCUACGGGAGGCAGCAGUGGGGAAUUUUGGACAAUGGGGGCAACCCUGAUCCAGCAAUGCCGCGUGAGUGAAGAAGGCCUUCGGGUUGUAAAGCUCUUUUGUCAGGGAAGAAACGGUGAGGGCUAAUAUCCUUUGCUAAUGACGGUACCUGAAGAAUAAGCACCGGCUAACUACGUGCCAGCAGCCGCGGUAAUACGUAGGGUGCAAGCGUUAAUCGGAAUUACUGGGCGUAAAGCGUGCGCAGGCGGUUAUGUAAGUCAGAUGUGAAAUCCCCGGGCUCAACCUGGGAAUGGCAUUUGAGACUGCAUGGCUAGAGUGUGUCAGAGGGGGGUAGAAUUCCACGUGUAGCAGUGAAAUGCGUAGAGAUGUGGAGGAAUACCGAUG